GUCCCUUGCUCUUGAUUCUACAGGCCAGGGCGGCUGUCCCUGCUCUUGAUUCUACAGGCCAGGGCGGCUGUCCCGUGCUCUUGAUUCUACAGGCCAGGGCGGCUGUCCCGUGCUCUUGAUUCUACAGGCCAGGGCGGCUGUCCCUGCUCUUGAUUCUACAGGCGAAGGCGGCUGUCCCUUGCUCUUGAUUCUACAGGCCAGGGCGGCUGUCCCUGCUCUUGAAUCUACAGGCCAGGGCGGCUGUCCCUGCUCUUGAUUCUACAGGCCAGGGCGGCUGUCCCUGCUCUUGAUUCUACAGGCCAGGGCGGCUGUCUCUGCUCUUGAUUCUACAGGCCAGGGCGGCUGUCCCUGCUCUUGAUUCUACAGGCCAGGGCGGCUGUCCCGUGCACACUCACAAGUGAAACAACACUCUUCAGGGAGGCACCGCGCUCAGGCCGUCAACACCCUUCCCGCACCUCCCUCCUCCGGUGGUUCUGUCAAGCAGGGACACAGGGACGGAGGGGCCUUGGUCAUUUUGGUCCUGGCUGUUGAAGCCCCCAUGAGGCUGACCUGAGAGGCCAAAGUUGGACACCACGAUUGCCACAAAGGCCAUAGCUGCUUCUCCUUGACGGUCACCUCGACGUGCCAAUGUGGCCAAGCAGGCAGGCGCCAGCAACACCCACAAGACAGAUGCUGAUGGCCCGGGGACUCCCCUAGGCCACCCCUAGAUGGCGCCAUGGCCCAGGGCCACCAGGAGCCAUGGCUGCUGCAAAAGGAACGGGGAUGCCGGGAAAAGCCUGGGGACCACGUCACCCACCCACAGAGCCGGGGCCUCUAGAGCACCUUGCUCUUGAAUCAGAGGCUGCUCUGGGAUGCUCCUCCCGCUGGACGUCUGCGUCCCACCCAUCCUGCAGGCUCCGCACCCGGUUGCCCACGGUGCGCGUCAGAACAGGAUUCUCAGCAACAGUGAAGAGGAAAAGUGUAAGAAGACUAUGAAACAACGUCCCCAUGGAUACCAUUUAGACACAAACAGCGGCCUGUUCUCUAAGCACAGUCAGCCGAGUGUCUUGUUCCCAGCAAGCCACAGCCACUGACCACAUGGAGCCCUCUGACCACACAGGGCCCCAGGAUGUCACUCUGGAAAAGCUCCUUCCGGUGCUCUGAGCGUUCCCCUCUGGCAGCGUCUGGCUCUUCAUUCGUGGAUGCGGUAUCUCUGAUGACGCCAAUGAUGAGACAGAAGGAGAGUCAAAGCAUGAGAGGGACUUCACCCGCCAGUGCUGGCUCUGCAGAUGGGCAAGGGCCCUCCGUGAACAACGCAGGCGGCCUGGAGAAGCCGGGAAAGGCUCGGCUUGCACCCAGCAAGGUGCUACUGCCAGUCCUACCACCAGCAAGAACGGAAUUCUGCCAACCUCCCAACGAGCAAGAGAACAUCUUCCUGUAGGGCCUGCAAAAAGCAAAGCCCUGGCCAACACCUUGACUUCAGCCCAGGGAAACCCACACUGGACUGAGGACCGAGAGGACUGUGUGUCAGCCAACACCUUGACUUCAGCUCAGGGAAACCCACACUGGACUGAGGACCGAGAGGACUGCGUGUCAGCCAACACCUUGACUUCAGCCCAGGGAAACCCACACUGGACUGAGGACCGAGAGGACUGCGUGUCAGCCAACACCUUGACUUCAGCCCAGGGAAACCCACACUGGACUGAGGACCGAGAGGACUGUGUGUCAGCCAACACCUUGACUUCAGCCCAGGGAAACCCACACUGGACUGAGGACCGAGAGGACUGUGUGUCAGCCAACACCUUGACUUCAGCCCAGGGAAACCCACACUGGACUGAGGACCGAGAGGACUGUGUGUCAGCCAACACCUUGACUUCAGCCCAGGGAAACCCACACUGGACUGAGGACCGAGAGGACUAUGUGUCAGCAAUAACAGAAAAGGAGUAGAAAGGCCAUCUAUUGCGGCCCUGUAUUUAUUAUAAAUAAACUGAAUCCAAACUAAAAAUCCACCCACUGGGGAAUGGUUACUGACAGAAUAGAAAUGUUCUAUGGCUAUUACAAAGAAACAAGCUUGCAGCCAUCAGCAUGGCUAAAAGGAAGGCAGGACUUAGAACAAACAGGACUCUCCCUCUCUCCUGUGGGACAGAAACUGUGUGACUGCUUUGGAGAACGGGUUGGCAGCAUCUACACAGGCCCUACAGCCCAGCUUCCACUCCUCAGUACGUCCCAACAGCAAUGGGCACCUGUGUUGACCAAACGCGUCUGAGACUCCUCACAGGAGCCCUGUGAGAGUCACCCAACAUGGAAACCAUCCCAAAGCCCAUCUGGAGUGGAGCCAAUGCACUGCAGCCUUGACACACGGGAGACCACUCGGCGCGGGGAAGGAGGGAGCAACUGCACUCAACCACGUGGCCGAAGCUCACCCAGAAGACAUGGAAAGAAGGCAGCCGGACACAGGAGAGUUUGCCCUGUGUGGCUCCAUUGACGUGAAAACUAGACAAGGCAGAUGAGUCCACAGUGACAUGCCAGGCCGGGGGCAGAGUGUGAGAGGCCUGCAGAGGGCGAGGCUGCGAGGGCUGAUGCUUUCUCAGGCCGGCAUGCCUGUCCGCACUCACUGUAUUGCAGACUUUAAAGGGGUUUUUUUGUACACAAAUUACACCUCAAUAAAGCUGAUUAAUUAAAAGACGGAAAGCUGACAACAUCAAAUGUUGGCAAAGAUGUGGAGCACCUGGAACUCUCAUGCAUUGCUGAUGGGACUAUGAAACAAUGGGGCUGCUUGAGCAAACAGUUUUCUCUUUUGAGAUCAGGUCUCACUGUGCUGCUCAGGCUGGAGUGCAGCGGAACAAUCACGGCUCGCUGCAGCCUCCAACUCCAGGGCUCACACGAUCCUCCUGCCUCAGCCUCCUGAGUAGCUAAGACUAUUACAAGUGUGCGUCACCACACCAGGCUAAUUUAUUUAUUUUUUUGAGACAAAGUCUCACUCUGUCGCCCAGGCUGGAGUGCAGUGGCAUGAUCUCAGCUCACUCCAACCUCCGCCUCCCGGGUUCAAGUGAUUGUCCUGCCUCAGCCUCCCAAGUAACUGGGACCACAAGCACCACCACCACACCAGGCUAACUUUGUAUUUUUAGUAGAGAUACGGUUUCACCAUGUUGGCCAGGCUGGUCUCAAACUCCUGACCUCAAGUGAUCUGCCUGCCUCGGCCUCCCAAAGUGCUGAGACUACAGGCAUGAGCCACCACACCCAGCCCCAGGCUAAUUUUUCAAUAUGUUUAUAGCAACGAGUUCUCACUAUGUUGCCCAGGCUGGGCAAGCUUAUAAAUUAAAACGUACACUCAUAUAUGACAGCAAUUCCACUCUUAGAUCUACCUAAGGGAACAGAAACACCUUCAGAAAGACUCACAUAUAUUCUAGAGAAACACCUUCAGAAGGACUCACGUGUAUUCUAGAGAAACACCUUCAGAAAGACUCACAUAUAUUCUAGAGAAACACCUUCAGAAAGACUCACGUGUAUUCUAGAGAAACACCCUCAGAAGGACUCACGUGUAUUCUAGAGAAACACCUUCAGAAGGACUCACAUAUAUUCUAGAGAAACACCUUCAGAAGGACUCGUGUAUUCUAGAGAAACACCUUCAGAAGGAUUCACGUGUAUUCUAGAGAAACACCUUCAGAAGGCCUCGUGCGUAUUUGUGUUAUAGUUUAGUGCUAGUGCCACUGAACUGUAUCCCUACAUAUGGCUAAAAUGACGUGUUUUCUGUAUUUUACAAGAAAAAUAAUUAAAAAAAAAAAUUUAAAAGAACUAGCUCUGAGCCGGGUGUGGUGGUACAUGCCUGUAGUCCCAGCUGCUAGGGAGCUGCUAGGUGGGAGGAUCAGUUGAGCCCAAGAGGUAGAGGCUGCAGUGAGCUGAGAUCAUACCACUGCACUCCAGCUGGGGCAACAGAACGAGAGUCUCAAAAAAAAAAAAAAGAAAAAGAAAAAAGAAGAACUCGUUCACAUCAGCAUUAUUCGUAAUACCCCAAACCAGGAAAUAACCCAAAUGUGCAUCAACAAGGUAAAUGCAUAAACAAACUGGGGUAUAUUUGUGCAAAGGAAUACCACUUGGGAACAAAAAAAGAAGAAUCUACUAUUGUACAUCAUGAAUAAGUUUCAAAACUGCUGAGCAAAAGAAACCAGGGUCUGCUUCGUAUCCAUGAUGUCUGGAACAGGAAAAAGCAGCCCAUGUGAUGGAAGCCGACUGCUGGGGGCUGGGGGCUGACUCGGCAGGGCCUGAGGGGCUUUCUGGGAGGAGAGUGGAUGUGCUCCUGAUUUGGAUGAGGGUACUGGCUGCAUAGGUACAUAUAUGUGCCAAAACUCAUAGAACUGUACAUGCAAAGAGGGUACAUUUAUUAAAUAGACAUCAUCUCUCAAUAAAAUUGAUUUAAAAAAAUUAAACCCACAGGGCAUUGAUCUGCUUUGAAUUUGGAGGUCUAAGGAUUAGGGGACCGGAUUACCCUACAAGACAGCCUGAACACAUAUCAGAGCCAGAUGUGAAGGCACUGCCUGUCCCUGAAGACCUGGGGCUCUAAGUCAUUCACGUGCGGGGCCGGCGCUCCGCAUUCAAUCUUCCGGCAUACCACUCCCCUCGGAUGUCUUCUGAGACAAGGACAGCCCACGUCCACCAACCCCACUGCAGGCAAACCGGCGCCUGCCUGAUGGAGGACAGUAAAGGAAGGAAAAGUUAUCUAACAAAUUUCAAAUGUGUCUGUGUACACCAGCAUGCCAAAUGUCAGAAGAAAUUCUAGGGCAGUUUGUGGACUGGUUUCCUGCGAAGCUAGAGCUUUUACUUAACGCCUUAAAACCCACAACAAGCCAAAAGGGCUCUCGUGUCUACAAAGAGCAGGCACACUUGGCACAGAACACCUGGCUAAACACAGAACAUUAAGAAAACAAAAAACACAGGUCUGGCCCCAGCUACUCAGGAGGCUGAGGCAGGAGGAUUGCUUCAGCGCCACGGUUCAAGACCAGCCUGGGCAACACAGUGAGACCCUAUCUCUUAAAAUUCUCCUCUCCCAUCUUUUAAGGAGCAGAUCCCAUAGCUCUCAGAUUACUUUCAAUGAUUACAAAUCCAGCUUAGUGUGGCUUAAACCCCAAUCUCAUGUCCACUUUAAGACUCAUUUCUGGCUGUGCUUGGUGGCUAACACCUGUCAUCUCGACACUUUGGGAGGCCAAGGUGAGAGAAUCACUUGAGCCCAGGAGUUCAAGACCACUAGCCUAGGCAACAUGGCAAGACCUCAAUUCUACAAAAAAUAAUUUAUUGGCCAGGCACAGUGGCUCACGCCUGUAAUCCCAGCACUUUGGGAGGCCGAGGUGGGUGGA
RNAcentral lists this long non-coding RNA (5330 nucleotides) under Homo sapiens (human). RNAcentral's name for it is "HSALNT0383938". Lineage: Eukaryota; Metazoa; Chordata; Mammalia; Primates; Hominidae. The record is from RNAcentral.